RNAcentral lists this ribosomal RNA (396 nucleotides) under Cercozoa sp. RNAcentral's name for it is "partial small subunit ribosomal RNA". It matches the Rfam family "Eukaryotic small subunit ribosomal RNA", at positions 582 to 975 of the family's 1831-position model. The record is from RNAcentral. Lineage: Eukaryota; Cercozoa.
AUUCCAGCUCCAGUAGCGUAUAUUAAAGUUGUUGCAGUUAAAAAGCUCGUAGUUGGAUUUCUGACUUCAGAUACCUGACCCUCCCUCGCUAGAGGUGUGUGUGCCGGAGUAUUUGUAUCAUCCUUUCAGUGAUCGGCUCUACCCUUAACCGGGUCGGAGCUGCUAGCUGGAUCUUUUACUUUGAAGAAAUUGGAGUGUUUAAAGCAGGCUUACGCCAGAACAUAUUAGCAUGGAAUAAUAAUUUAGGACUUUUGUUCUAUUUUGUUGGUUUCUAGGACGAAAGUAAUGAUUGAUAGGGAUAGUUGGGGGUGCUAGUAUUCGGCGGCCAGAGGUGAAAUUCUUUGAUCCGCUGAAGACUAACUUAUGCGAAAGCAUUCACCAAGGAUGUUUUCAUCG